GGGGGGGUCGUGGGGGCUGGUUACUACUGACCCUGUUAACCUUUGGCUGGGUGUGUGAGGCUGGCCUGGGGUUUGGUUUGAGACUGAGGGUGUUACCUUGUUGAGGCUGGGCUGGGUGGUCAUGCUGAGGGUUUUGCCCCUGUGGUUGUUGGGCUGGGGGGUCAGGCUGAGGGUGUUGCCCCUGUUGAUGUUGGGCUGGGGGGUCUGGCUGAGGGUGUUGCCCCUGUUGAUGUUGGGUUAGGGGGUCUGGCUGAGGGUGUUGCCCCUGUUGAUGUUGGGCUGGGGGGUCUGGCUGAGGGUGUUGCCCCUGUUGAUGUUGGGCUGGGGGGUCUGGCUGAGGGUGUUGCCCCUGUUGAUGUUGGGCUGGGGGGUCUGGCUGAGGGUGUUGCCCCUGUUGAUGUUGGGCUGGGGGGUCUGGCUGAGGGUGUUGCCCCUGUUGAUGUUGGGCUGGGGGGUCUGGCUGAGGGUGUUGCCCCUGUUGAUGUUGGGCUGGGGGGUCUGGCUGAGGGUUUUGCCCCUGUUGAUGUUGGGCUGGGGGGUCUGGCUGAGGGUGUUGCCCCUGUUGAUGUUGGGCUGGGGGGUCUGGCUGAGGGUUUUGCCCCUGUUGAUGUUGGGCUGGGGCGUCUGGCUGAGGGUUUUGCCCCUGUUGAUGUUGGGCUGGGGGGGUCAGGCUGAGGGUGUUGCCCCUGUUGAUGUUGGGCUGGGGGGUCUGGCUGAGGGUGUUGCCCCUGUUGAUGUUGGGCUGGGGGGGUCUGGCUGAGGGUUUUGCCCCUGUUGAUGUUGGGCUGGGGGGUCUGGCUGAGGGUGUUGCCCCUGUUGAUGUUGGGCUGGGGGGUCUGGCUGAGGGUGUUGCCCCUGUUGAUGUUGGGCUGGGGCGUCUGGCUGAGGGUUUUGCCCCUGUUGAUGUUGGGCUGGGGGGGUCAGGCUGAGGGUGUUGCCCCUGUUGAUGUUGGGCUGGGGGGUCUGGCUGAGGGUGUUGCCCCUGUUGAUGUUGGGCUGGGGGGGUCUGGCUGAGGGUUUUGCCCCUGUUGAUGUUGGGCUGGGGGGUCUGGCUGAGGGUGUUGCCCCUGUUGAUGUUGGGCUGGGGGGUCUGGCUGAGGGUGUUGCCCCUGUUGAUGUUGGGCUGGGGGGGUCUGGCUGAGGGUUUUGCCCCUGUUGAUGUUGGGCUGGGGGGGUCUGGCUGAGGGUUUUGCCCCUGUUGAUGUUGGGCUGGGGGUCUGGCUGAGGGUGUUGCCCCUGUUAGCCCCACCCCCACAGCCCAGCCUCACAACCCCAGUUCAGCCUCAGUAGGGACAACAGUGGCAGCAGAGCCCCCUAUCUCCCCCAGGCUGUAAGGACAAGAUGUCUCUCUACCUAACCAUUUAGAUUACUGACUGCCUGAACUUGGGCCAUAAUAACAUGUAAUCCAUGUUACAUUUAACAGAUCUCUUUCUGGACUUUCCAUAAGGAAGUGUGAUGUUUCAAAUACUAUAUGAAUUUCCUUCAAUAGUACUCAAAACUGUAUCGUAUACAGCAAUUAUUUUACCCAUCAAGAGUCCUCUUGUAUUCUAUAUUGCAACAGAGCAUGUCCAUAACAAACUUUCCCCAAAUAAAUCUGUGCAUGUAGCUAUUAUUUAAA
Molecule: long non-coding RNA, 1618 nt
Organism: Esox lucius (northern pike)
Lineage: Eukaryota; Metazoa; Chordata; Actinopteri; Esociformes; Esocidae
Source: Ensembl